CCUACGGGAUGCAGCAGUGAGGAAUAUUGGUCAAUGGGCGGGAGCCUGAACCAGCCAAGCCGCGUGAGGGAAGAAGGUACAGCGUAUCGUAAACCUCUUUUGUCAGGGAACAAAGGCGGGGACUAGUCCCCGGAUGAGGGUACCUGAAGAAACAGCAUCGGCUAACUCCGUGCCAGCAGCCGCGGUAAUACGGAGGAUGCGAGCGUUAUCCGGAUUUAUGGGGUUUAAAGGGUGCGCAGGCGGCCUGUUAAGUCAGCGGUAAAAGCCCGGGGCUCAACCCCGGCGAGCCGUUGAAACUGGCGGGCUGGAGUGGGAGAGAAGUACGCGGAAUGCGCGGUGUAGCGGUGAAAUGCUUAGAUAUCGCGCAGAACCCCGAUGGCGAAGGCAGCGUACCGGCUCCACACUGACGCUGAGGCACGAAAGCGUGGGUAUCGAACAGGAUUAGAUACCCCGGUAGUC
This 459-nucleotide ribosomal RNA is filed under the name uncultured bacterium. Its description in RNAcentral is "partial 16S ribosomal RNA". It matches the Rfam family "Bacterial small subunit ribosomal RNA", at positions 338 to 795 of the family's 1533-position model. The record is from RNAcentral.